Molecule: ribosomal RNA, 440 nt
Filed under: uncultured bacterium
Lineage: Bacteria
Description: partial 16S ribosomal RNA
Rfam family: Bacterial small subunit ribosomal RNA
Source: RNAcentral
CCUACGGGAGGCAGCAGUAGGGAAUAUUGCUCAAUGGGGGCAACCCUGAAGCAGCCACGCCGCGUGAAGGAUGAAGGUUUUCGGAUUGUAAACUCCUUUUGUUAGAGAAGAUAAUGACGGUAUCUAACGAAUAAGCACCGGCUAACUCCGUGCCAGCAGCCGCGGUAAUACGGAGGGUGCAAGCGUUACUCGGAAUCACUGGGCGUAAAGCGCGCGUAGGCGGGAUAGCAAGUCAGAUGUGAAAUCCUAUGGCUUAACCAUAGAACUGCAUUUGAAACUGGUAGUCUUGAGUAUGGGAGAGGUAGGUAGAAUUCUUGGUGUAGGGGUAAAAUCCGUAGAGAUCAAGAGGAAUACUGAUUGCGAAGGCGACCUACUAGAACAUAACUGACGCUGAUGCGCGAAAGCGUGGGGAGCAAACAGGAUUAGAUACCCGUGUAGUC